UACGUAGGGUGCAAGCGUUGUCCGGAAUUAUUGGGCGUAAAGAGCUCGUAGGCGGUUUGUCGCGUCUGCUGUGAAAACGCGAGGCUCAACCUCGCGCCUGCAGUGGGUACGGGCAGACUAGAGUGCGGGUAGGGGAGAAUUGGAAUUCCUGGUGUAGCGGUGGAAUGCGCAGAUAUCAGGAGGAACACCGAUGGCGAAGGCAGAUCUCUGGGCCGUAACUGGACGCUGAGGAGCGAAAGCGUGGGGAGCGAACAGG
Molecule: ribosomal RNA, 256 nt
Filed under: uncultured bacterium
Lineage: Bacteria
Description: partial 16S ribosomal RNA
Rfam family: Bacterial small subunit ribosomal RNA
Source: RNAcentral